Molecule: ribosomal RNA, 541 nt
Filed under: Bifidobacterium breve
Lineage: Bacteria; Bacillati; Actinomycetota; Actinomycetes; Bifidobacteriales; Bifidobacteriaceae
Description: bacterial SSU rRNA
Rfam family: Bacterial small subunit ribosomal RNA
Source: RNAcentral
GUGGUAAUGCCGGAUGCUCCAGCAUACCGCAUGGUGUGUUGGGAAAGCCUUUGCGGCAUGGGAUGGGGUCGCGUCCUAUCAGCUUGAUGGCGGGGUAACGGCCCACCAUGGCUUCGACGGGUAGCCGGCCUGAGAGGGCGACCGGCCACAUUGGGACUGAGAUACGGCCCAGACUCCUACGGGAGGCAGCAGUGGGGAAUAUUGCACAAUGGGCGCAAGCCUGAUGCAGCGACGCCGCGUGAGGGAUGGAGGCCUUCGGGUUGUAAACCUCUUUUGUUAGGGAGCAAGGCAUUUUGUGUUGAGUGUACCUUUCGAAUAAGCACCGGCUAACUACGUGCCAGCAGCCGCGGUAAUACGUAGGGUGCAAGCGUUAUCCGGAAUUAUUGGGCGUAAAGGGCUCGUAGGCGGUUCGUCGCGUCCGGUGUGAAAGUCCAUCGCUUAACGGUGGAUCCGCGCCGGGUACGGGCGGGCUUGAGUGCGGUAGGGGAGACUGGAAUUCCCGGUGUAACGGUGGAAUGUGUAGAUAUCGGGAAGAACACCA